CUCAAUGAAAUUUCAAUAGCCGCAAUCUAUUGUGCUAAGGUAGCAUAAUCAUUUGUCUUUUAAUUAAAGAAUAGAACAAAAGAUUUAACAUUUUUAUUUCUCUCUUAUAUAUUUAUAAUCUAAAUUAUUUUAAAUAUAAAAAAAUAUUUAUAAAAAAAAAAGACGACAAGACCCUAUCGAACUUAACUAAAGUUAAACUGGGGUAGUUAAUUAAACAAUAUUUUAAUUCAAAUUUUCCAAACACCUAAUACAAUUAAAAUAAUCAAGUUACCGUAGGGAUAACAGCGUAAUAUUUUUCUAAAGCUCUUAUCAAAAAAAAUGUUUGCGACCUCGAUGUUGAAUUAAUAAUCUAUUAAAUGCAAUUAUUAAUAAGAAAGUC
This 379-nucleotide ribosomal RNA is filed under the name Iwogumoa yushanensis. RNAcentral describes it as "partial 16S ribosomal RNA". Lineage: Eukaryota; Metazoa; Arthropoda; Arachnida; Araneae; Agelenidae. The record is from RNAcentral.